CCCUGGUUAGCUCACUUGGUAGAGCACUCCACUGGAAAUAGAGGCCCCUGGUUCGGUACCAGGACCAGGCA
RNAcentral lists this transfer RNA (71 nucleotides) under Ixodes scapularis (black-legged tick). It matches the Rfam family "tRNA". Rfam says of the family: Transfer RNA (tRNA) molecules are approximately 80 nucleotides in length. Their secondary structure includes four short double-helical elements and three loops (D, anti-codon, and T loops). Further hydrogen bonds mediate the characteristic L-shaped molecular structure. tRNAs have two regions of fundamental functional importance: the anti-codon, which is responsible for specific mRNA codon recognition, and the 3' end, to which the tRNAs corresponding amino acid is attached (by aminoacyl-tRNA synthetases). tRNAs cope with the degeneracy of the genetic code in two manners: having more than one tRNA (with a specific anti-codon) for a particular amino acid; and 'wobble' base-pairing, i.e. permitting non-standard base-pairing at the 3rd anti-codon position. Lineage: Eukaryota; Metazoa; Arthropoda; Arachnida; Ixodida; Ixodidae. The record is from Rfam by way of RNAcentral.